Molecule: ribosomal RNA, 464 nt
Filed under: uncultured bacterium
Lineage: Bacteria
Description: partial 16S ribosomal RNA
Rfam family: Bacterial small subunit ribosomal RNA
Source: RNAcentral
GACGAACGCUGGCGGCGUGCUUAACACAUGCAAGUCGAACGGAAAGGCCCCUUUGGGGGUACUCGAGUGGCGAACGGGUGAGUAACACGUGAGUAACCUGCCCUUGACUUCGGGAUAACUUCAGGAAACUGGGGCUAAUACCGGAUAGGAGCUCCUGCUGCAUGGUGGGGGUUGGAAAGUUUCGGCGGUUGGGGAUGGACUCGCGGCUUAUCAGCUUGUUGGUGGGGUAGUGGCUUACCAAGGCUUUGACGGGUAGCCGGCCUGAGAGGGUGACCGGCCACAUUGGGACUGAGAUACGGCCCAGACUCCUACGGGAGGCAGCAGUGGGGAAUAUUGCACAAUGGGCGGAAGCCUGAUGCAGCAACGCCGCGUGCGGGAUGACGGCCUUCGGGUUGUAAACCGCUUUCGCCUGUGACGAAGCGUGAGUGACGGUAAUGGGUAAAGAAGCACCGGCUAACUACGUG